CCGAAUUUGGGCUGCCUCGUGUAGGCGCCCCUCUUCAUCCACCCCACACCCGUGCACAGGUCCUUCUCUCGGGGAGGGCCGCUUUUCUUUACAUGCGCCUCUGCGUCACUGGAUGUAUAACAUAUAAAAAGAAAC
RNAcentral lists this unclassified non-coding RNA (135 nucleotides) under uncultured fungus. Its description in RNAcentral is "sequence contains ITS1, 5.8S rRNA gene". The record is from RNAcentral. Lineage: Eukaryota; Fungi.